CGAGUGGAGGAAUCCUAGGGUGUGCCUGGAGGUGGCGGAGUGUACCGACGCGGGUGUGAGCGCGUGUGCCAGCGAGGGUGGGCACGGGGGUGAGCGUGGCAAGGGCAGCAGCACCUGCUUGAGACCAAGCCCGGCGACCUGGCAAGGUGGGGCCCCCUACCGCGCAAUCUUUGCGGCUGGCCCCCGGCUCUCAGCUCCGAGUGCAGAGGCUGAAGAGGUACCCGGGGGACACACUGCCUCUAACCCCACCUAUGAGCCGCUCUCCUCUCGGAGGACGAAGGCACCAUCAGAAGGUCGAGAUUCGCCCUCCUCUCCCGCCACGUCUACCCACUACCUAGACCGGGAGUCUGGACUUGGGAGCGUGAACUCUCACCCGAGCCGGUCCCCUUACAACUGGAGCCCGCCCAGCCCCUCAGUCCCUCCCUGAAGCCCAUGGGUCCCCACUGCUCCGUGCCUCGUCGACCCAGGAUGGGGAGUGGGAAGGUCAGCAUGUGCCCACAGGGCCAGGUGUCCGGCCCAGAUUCCCACCCUCAGGGCGGCGGCGCGCAAAGGGCGCAGUCCCCGCCGCUGGGCGGACCCGCGGCUCCGGCUUUCCCGGUGUCUCCAGCCUCGGUGCCCGGAAUCCUGGAUCUCGGCCUGGCGCUCCGGAAGCGAGGCAGCUCCGUGCCCCAGCAGGGACGGGGAACGCUUGGCUUGAGAGAUCACAUUUCUGGGUGUGGAGAGAAUGUCAAUCACAUAUCCAGAAUAUCACCUCCUUGGGCACAGCCAGGGCAUGGUCCAUUGAAAAUGUUCCUGAUUGCUGGAAGCUGACGGCUCACCAUAAAAGCCAAAAUGGGGACCUGUCAAAAAUGUUUUAGCCAAACUAUGGCUUGGCUCAGGAAGAUGCCAAGACCAAAGGCUGCUGAACUUUAAGUAUAAACUUGCAUGAAAAGCACAUUGCAGGUCUGAGACAGUGGAGGCUUAGUGGUGAGAACAUGAGCUCUGGAUAGACCUGGCUUCAAGUCUUGGCUCUGUCAUUCACCAGCUGUGUGAAUUUGGGCAAACCACUUUUCUUCUCUGAUGCUCAGUUCCCUCACCUAGCAAAAUGGGUUAUAAUGAUGGCAUCAACUCAUAAGGUUCAUGAGGACUGAGCUAGAUAAUGCAAACAACAUGUUUCAUAUACAAUAAUAAAUAAAAAUGUUGGCUGUUAUAAUAUUGUCACUGAGUCUACAUGUAUCUGAAACUAGCUCUUUUAAAUCCUGGGUACAGCUUUACAAGCAGUAUUGUGUAGUUUAGACAGAUCACCUGAGUUCUUUCUAUGUAAUUAUUGUUUCUACUGAACCUUGGUAAAUGUGUGAAAUCACAGAAGUUUGUCCCUAGACACUCCCCUCACCCCACUGGCUCCUCUCUCCAUUCUGUGCAACCCCAUUUCUGCAGCCUUGAGCUUCAGCCCAUUUCUCUCCAUUUCCUCCUCAUUAGCAAGAACUGAUAAAAUUAUUUGAACUGAUAUGUAAGUGACCAUCUCAUCCAGAGAUAUAGUAUUCACAUUUUAGUAGGUCAGAGCCUUAAGCCAAGGCAGUGAAAUAGAGUGGAUGGUACUUCAAGCAUUCAUCAAAGUAAUGGGGAAAGUUUGGGGUCCCAGGAGACUCUUCCCAAUUCCACAGAGUCCUGCCCAUUCAUAAAACUGGUACUAUUGAUGCAUUAUAAGCAACAAGGUGGUCCGUGUUUGAAUUCUGCAGCUGGAAAAUCAAGUCUCCAGCUUUUGCAAAAGUGUUGUAAUAGGGAAACUUGGACACUAAUUUUAUAUACCAACCUCUUCUUGGUAAAGAGACAUAGCUCAUGAGCACCAAGGCCUUUCCAGCAUUGCACAUCUAUGAUACUUAUACUCAAGUGCAUUUUUUUCUUCAGAGCUCAAGGCUAGAGUUGGGUGUUUUUGCCUCACUGGGUUUGUAGGAGACUCAGCUACAAAGUCAUUAAUUGCUUUGGUGAAUCAACAAGUAAAGAAAGACAGUCCAGCUAUUGUCCCCACACUGCAAAAUCAUAAGAGGCUUCUGGACUUCUCCACAAAAUCCUCAUUAAAGAUGAGUCCUCAUGGCUCUUACAGAAUUCUUUAUUAUGUCCUUUGUGCUGAGACUGCAAGGUAAAGAAAGAAAAAAGGGAAAUAACUAAAUUUGUUAUCAUGGAAAAUUUCAAACAUACAAAAGAUGAAAGAAUUGUAUAAUAUACCCCCAUGAACUUGUCAUUUAGCUUUGAAAGUUACCAACUCAUGGCCAAUCAUUUUUCAUCUGUACCCUACUCACACACUCCCCCACCAUAAUUUUGAAACAAAUUCCAAAUAUAAUUUCAUCUGUAAAUAUUUCUGUGAUUGCACCUUUGUUAUGGCCAACAAAAUCCAUCUUUCUAGAAGAGAAGUCAUUCUUCCCUCCCUCCAUGAUGCUAAGAACAUUUGGCCAGUACCUGCAUCCAUGCCCAGGAGUGGUCUCUGGGUUAGGCAAGCUUGAGGGUUUACUGAAUGUUAUCCAAAGUUUGUCCUUUUCCUUGGGUAGAAAAAGGAACCCAUAAAAUGUCUGGUAGAGGUGCCACUGUGUGCAAGCUUUUUUUUUUUUUUUUUUUUUUUUUUGUCAGCAGGGAUGAUGCUCAAUAGCUGUGAUGAGGUCCAAGCUGAGAGAAAAGAGUCAUGAUCAUGAAUCCCAACUGGAUUCAUCAUUUUCCACAUACUUUACUUCAUUUAGCUUUCACCAAUUCUCAUGUUAGUUCCAUUUUACAGAUAAGAAAACUAAGACCUAAGCUCACCCAGCUAGUAGUUACUUGUGGCAGAGACAGACUAGAUGCCAAUCAAAUUCAGUUCCUCUUUUCUGUAGAUACAGUUAGAUUACUUUCCCAGGUUCUCUUGCAGUUAGGUUUGGUCAUCUGACUAAGUUCUAGCCAAAGUAAUAUAGGCCAGUCCCAUGAAAAACAUCUAGGGCAAUUUAGCAUGUUCUUUCUUUCUCCAUCCACUGGCUGAAUGGAAAAAAUUUCAAGGGCUUAGAAGGGGACAGAGCCACAAGAAGGAAGGAACUUGGGUCCCUGGGUGACUAUGUGAAGUAGAGGUCCCUCCCAACUUCCUUUGAACUGUGAAAUACGCAAAAUAAAUAAAUAAAUAAAUUUUUAUUAUGUGAAA
Molecule: long non-coding RNA, 3139 nt
Filed under: Homo sapiens (human)
Lineage: Eukaryota; Metazoa; Chordata; Mammalia; Primates; Hominidae
Description: HSALNT0294679
Source: RNAcentral